Molecule: unclassified non-coding RNA, 332 nt
Filed under: soil metagenome
Description: partial contains 5.8S ribosomal RNA, internal transcribed spacer 2, and large subunit ribosomal RNA
Rfam family: 5.8S ribosomal RNA (bases 1-120)
Source: RNAcentral
GAUGAAGAACGUAGCGAAAUGCGAUAAGUAGUGUGAAUUCCAGAAUUCAGUGAAUCAUCGAAUCUUUGAACGCACAUUGCGCCCUUUGGUAUUCCUUAGGGCAUGCCUGUUCGAGCGUCAUUUAAACCUUCAAGCUAAGCUUGGUGUUGGGUGACUGUCCGCUUCACGGCGGACUCGCCUCAAAAUUAUUGGCGGCCGGUACAUUGGCUUCGAGCGCAGCAGAAACGCGAACUCGGGCCCGUCGUAUUGGCUCCCAGAAGCUAUCUUCACAAUUUUGACCUCGGAUCAGGUAGGGAUACCCGCUGAACUUAAGCAUAUCAAUAAGCGGAGGA